UACGGGGGGGGCAAGCGUUGUUCGGAAUUACUGGGCGUAAAGGGCUUGUAGGUGGCCAACUAAGUCAGACGUGAAAUCCCUCGGCUUAACCGGGGAACUGCGUCUGAUACUGGAUGGCUCGAGUGUGGGAGAGGGAUGCGGAAUUCUAGGUGUAGCGGUGAAAUGCGUAGAUAUCUGGAGGAACACCGGUGGCGAAGGCGGCAUCCUGGACCAUAACUGACACUGAUAAGCGAAAGCCAGGGGAGCAAACGGG
Molecule: ribosomal RNA, 253 nt
Filed under: uncultured bacterium
Lineage: Bacteria
Description: partial 16S ribosomal RNA
Rfam family: Bacterial small subunit ribosomal RNA
Source: RNAcentral